UAGCUACAGGCUUAACACAUGCAAGUCGAGGGGCAGCAUGGUCUUAGCUUGCUAAGGCCGAUGGCGACCGGCGCACGGGUGAGUAACACGUAUCCAACCUGCCGUCUACUCUUGGACAGCCUUCUGAAAGGAAGAUUAAUACAAGAUGGCAUCAUGAGUCCGCAUGUUCACAUGAUUAAAGGUAUUCCGGUAGACGAUGGGGAUGCGUUCCAUUAGAUAGUAGGCGGGGUAACGGCCCACCUAGUCUUCGAUGGAUAGGGGUUCUGAGAGGAAGGUCCCCCACAUUGGAACUGAGACACGGUCCAAACUCCUACGGGAGGCAGCAGUGAGGAAUAUUGGUCAAUGGGCGAGAGCCUGAACCAGCCAAGUAGCGUGAAGGAUGACUGCCCUAUGGGUUGUAAACUUCUUUUAUAAAGGAAUAAAGUCGGGUAUGGAUACCCGUUUGCAUGUACUUUAUGAAUAAGGAUCGGCUAACUCCGUGCCAGCAGCCGCGGUAAUACGGAGGAUCCGAGCGUUAUCCGGAUUUAUUGGGUUUAAAGGGAGCGUAGAUGGAUGUUUAAGUCAGUUGUGAAGGUUUGCGGCUCAACCGUAAAAUUGCAGUUGAUACUGGAUAUCUUGAGUGCAGUUGAGGCAGGCGGAAUUCGUGGUGUAGCGGUGAAAUGCUUAGAUAUCACGAAGAACUCCGAUUGCGAAGGCAGCCUGCUAAGCUGCAACUGACAUUGAGGCUCGAAAGUGUGGGUAUCAAACAGGAUUAGAUACCCUGGUAGUCCACACGGUAAACGAUGAAUACUCGCUGUUUGCGAUAUACAGCAAGCGGCCAAGCGAAAGCGUUAAGUAUUCCACCUGGGGAGUACGCCGGCAACGGUGAAACUCAAAGGAAUUGACGGGGGCCCGCACAAGCGGAGGAACAUGUGGUUUAAUUCGAUGAUACGCGAGGAACCUUACCCGGGCUUAAAUUGCAGAUGAAUUACGGUGAAAGCCGUAAGCCGCAAGGCAUCUGUGAAGGUGCUGCAUGGUUGUCGUCAGCUCGUGCCGUGAGGUGUCGGCUUAAGUGCCAUAACGAGCGCAACCCUUGUUGUCAGUUACUAACAGGUUCCGCUGAGGACUCUGACAAGACUGCCAUCGUAAGAUGUGAGGAAGGUGGGGAUGACGUCAAAUCAGCACGGCCCUUACGUCCGGGGCUACACACGUGUUACAAUGGGGGGUACAGAGGGCCGCUACCACGCGAGUGGAUGCCAAUCCCCAAAACCUCUCUCAGUUCGGACUGGAGUCUGCAACCCGACUCCACGAAGCUGGAUUCGCUAGUAAUCGCGCAUCAGCCACGGCGCGGUGAAUACGUUCCCGGGCCUUGUACACACCGCCCGUCAAGCCAUGGGAGCCGGGGGUACCUGAAGUGCGUAACCGCGAGGAGCGCCCUAGGGUAAAACUGGUGACUG
This 1436-nucleotide ribosomal RNA is filed under the name uncultured organism. RNAcentral's name for it is "SSU rRNA". It matches the Rfam family "Bacterial small subunit ribosomal RNA". The record is from RNAcentral.